This is a long non-coding RNA of Ictalurus punctatus (channel catfish), 1347 nucleotides long. RefSeq lists it as uncharacterized. The record is from RefSeq and is a predicted model, not a curated record. The transcript has 3 exons. NCBI's taxonomy places the organism in Eukaryota, Metazoa, Chordata, Actinopteri, Siluriformes, Ictaluridae.
CUUUGACGGUCACCUCUUUUGUGUGUGUGUGUGUGUGUGUGUGUGGGAGGGGAAGUCCUUAUAGUUUAUGGAGCCCUCACUUCCGGUAUCUAAAGCGUGUCCGCGUGGUGGAGAUUGAAGAGUUGCGUGUGCUGCAGUGGUCUCAUGGAGCAACGUGGGAUAAAGAAAAUGAGGUAGGAUUUGAAAGCCUGAUUAUUCACACCAUGAGGAUGGCUGAGGUGCCUGAACAUGCUGCGGAUGCUCAUGUUAAACACAGGUGGAUGAUGAAGAGCGGAUGGAAGCGACUGCUGCGUUCGAACACCAUUUACAUUCACAUUUAAUGACUUUAGCAGAGCAUUUUAUUUGAUUAUGGGUGAAGUAUAGGUUUGCUCACACAGUACAAAAAUAAAAUGAACUCUAAAGAGGAGGAAAAAUGGAAAGAUUUUGUACAAAAAUGUAAAAUUCAUUUGAAUUUCAUAUUUACAGUCCAUUUGUAAUUUUUAAAAUAUAAAAAAAAAAGUGUACUGUGACUCACUAUCAUAUUAGAUGGUCAUAUCGCCCAGCCUCGCUCUCGGGAUUCCGGUUAAUAGUACGCACUUCUGUAGGAACAAUGUUAGCAAAAGUAACACGAGGACCUGAAGCUGUUUUUAAAAAUGAUUAAGUCUUUAUUGGUUCAGAAAUAAUCAUGUGAAGCUGGGUUUACUCUGUAUGAUUUUGCCGGUUUUAAAAAAAAUCGCACGUUGUCAAUUAUUUGGUCGUGAGCUGAGCUCUGUGACUAACACAGCGUAAUGCAUUCAAGUUGUGUGAAAUGUGUCCAAUGUGUGAGCGGUUUCUAAUUUCAAUCUUUAGAAUGAGCGCUCAUGCUAUAACUCUAGACUAAAAUCCAACAAUAGGAGGACGGCAAACUCAUGGCACAGCUAUGAAUACAGUCACGGCGAUAGAGAAAAUCAUAACAUGCUAACGGACAUUGUAAUGGCCUUAUUAACUCAUGCUCAUGUCAUGUUUGUGAGUAGGUUUUCUGCACAGGAUGAUUUCUGGGAGGUUGGUGACGUAAGAACGUGGUAAUUUUCUUUAAUCGCAGGUCUGCCGUUAGAAGAUCUUCAUUAGAAGAUCCACAAAAAUGUUAUAGAACUCAGCCCAGAUUUUAUUGGAAUCUUGUACAGUUAUCUUGUGAAGGAGGAUGAUGACUGUAGAGCGCUGGAGUCACACCAUCUGAAACCGACUUUAUAACGUUUGAAACACUGUCCGGUUUGGUUUUUACUAUGCAUGUGAGUUUUAUCUCUUCUAUGUCACUUAUGUGUUAACUUUGAAUGUUUUUUUUUCUUUUCGCCUCCCCUGUGAUUUCAAAUAAAGCUUGCUCUUCCAGUG